AGAGUUUGAUCCUGGCUCAGGAUGAACGCUGGCGGCGUGCUUAACACAUGCAAGUCGAGCGAAGCGCUUUAACGGAAUUCUUCGGAAGGAAGAUAAAGUGACUGAGCGGCGGACGGGUGAGUAACGCGUGGGUAACCUGCCUCAUACAGGGGGAUAACAGUUAGAAAUGGCUGCUAAUACCGCAUAAGCGCACAGGACCGCAUGGUCUGGUGUGAAAAACUCCGGUGGUAUGAGAUGGACCCGCGUUGGAUUAGCUAGUUGGUGGGGUAACGGCCUACCAAGGCGACGAUCCAUAGCCGGCCUGAGAGGGUGAACGGCCACAUUGGGACUGAGACACGGCCCAGACUCCUACGGGAGGCAGCAGUAGGGAAUCUUCCACAAUGGACGAAAGUCUGAUGGAGCAACGCCGCGUGAGUGAAGAAGGUUUUCGGAUCGUAAAACUCUGUUGUUGGAGAAGAAUGUAUCUGAUAGUAACUGAUCAGGUAGUGACGGUAUCCAACCAGAAAGCCACGGCUAACUACGUGCCAGCAGCCGCGGUAAUACGUAGGUGGCAAGCGUUGUCCGGAUUUAUUGGGCGUAAAGCGAGCGCAGGCGGUUUCUUAAGUCUGAUGUGAAAGCCUUCGGCUCAACCGAAGAAGUGCAUCGGAAACUGGGAAACUUGAGUGCAGAAGAGGACAGUGGAACUCCAUGUGUAGCGGUGAAAUGCGUAGAUAUAUGGAAGAACACCAGUGGCGAAGGCGGCUGUCUGGUCUGUAACUGACGCUGAGGCUCGAAAGCAUGGGUAGCAAACAGGAUUAGAUACCCUGGUAGUCCAUGCCGUAAACGAUGAGUGCUAGGUGUUGGAGGGUUUCCGCCCUUCAGUGCCGCAGCUAACGCAUUAAGCACUCCGCCUGGGGAGUACGACCGCAAGGUUGAAACUCAAAGGAAUUGACGGGGGCCCGCACAAGCGGUGGAGCAUGUGGUUUAAUUCGAAGCAACGCGAAGAACCUUACCAGGUCUUGACAUCCUUUGACCACUCUAGAGAUAGAGCUUUCCCUUCGGGGACAAAGUGACAGGUGGUGCAUGGUUGUCGUCAGCUCGUGUCGUGAGAUGUUGGGUUAAGUCCCGCAACGAGCGCAACCCUUAUUACUAGUUGCCAGCAUUUAGUUGGGCACUCUAGUGAGACUGCCGGUGACAAACCGGAGGAAGGUGGGGACGACGUCAAAUCAUCAUGCCCCUUAUGACCUGGGCUACACACGUGCUACAAUGGAUGGUACAACGAGUUGCGAGACCGCGAGGUUUAGCUAAUCUCUUAAAACCAUUCUCAGUUCGGAUUGUAGGCUGCAACUCGCCUACAUGAAGCCGGAAUCGCUAGUAAUCGCGGAUCAGCAUGCCGCGGUGAAUACGUUCCCGGGCCUUGCACACACCGCCCGUCA
RNAcentral lists this ribosomal RNA (1415 nucleotides) under uncultured bacterium. RNAcentral describes it as "partial 16S ribosomal RNA". It matches the Rfam family "Bacterial small subunit ribosomal RNA". The record is from RNAcentral.